CGCCCAACUUAUCGCAACUUGUGUGCUUACCUGGUUGCCUGCCCACCUUCAUUGUAAAGCCAGUUACCCAUUUCCCUAGCGCGGGUGCUCUUAAUUGUACUGUUAACCGGCCUUGAACUCGAUAUAGGUGUGAAUAAUUCGAUGAACAAUGGUGCAAGUGAGUGGAAAAAGAAUAGCCAAUCGUCACAACAACUCAGCGACCGAAAGACUGCUCUUCUAGUAGCCGUAAUAUUUGCCGUCUAGCCCAAUUUAGUCGCUUGCGGCUUUUAUAAACUCCUGAGUGUCUGAUGAAGCCAUCAGAUCACGAAAUACCUACUAAUACAAACGAUUGCAAUGCACUCACAGCCUCAUUAUGCACACCGCAAUUUAAGUAGACGUAUACAGAUGGACAUAUACGAAUUACUCGAUGCGUGGCGACGUUGUUAGAGAAUGAACUUUGUCAUGCUAUUUCGUUUCCGCUGCUGCUGCUGCUGCUGCUGUGCGAGUCAUUGUUGAAUCCUUUGCUCGUCGUUGUACGACGGCGCUGCCAAGGUGUCAUCCGCUAACGUCAAGCUGUCAACAGGAGUCGCACGACAAUUUCCAGCAAUGCCGCUUCGGCCGCCAUUACACACAAUGCCAUACAGGAACAUAGGGGGGCGAGCACAGGACGAGAAUGAGAGAAGGACUAGCCAUCUCGCAGAGUUGAAAACUUUCCGUAAGCAGAUGUCGCGUCCUCGUAGCAUGCUUCGGUACCUCCUACAGUUACUGCUGUUACUUCUGCCCAUAUGGUACAGCUGUGCGUGCGAGUCACGUAACGCAAUUCUGCUGCUCAAAACCGUUCAUAAUCGCUGUCCCAUAUGUACUAGUUGUUUCCGCAUUUCGCUGCUGCUAAACACAAACUGCAAAGGACCAAAGAGAAAAUGUGCGAAAGCAACUGCAAAUGUGAGUGACGGCCAACCUAUGGCGAACGCCGUCCGGCGAUAUCGGACUUCAGUGAGCAAGGCUGGAUAAGCUUCUUGAUCUGGUCCAUUCAUCCCAAAAUCAUUCGAGUCGAUACUGUUGUGCUUAAACUUUGAAGACAAGCCCAAUAUUUGAAGCGUGAAAUCAUAAACUCCGUUACGGCUACACUUUAUUGUGGACGGCAUCGUCAUCUUCAAACGAUCAUCGGAAAAAAUUUAAACGUAAAAAAAUUUGCAGAGGUGCGGCUCUUUGCGGCUCUGACAAGAACAACUUCAUAUCAUAGGGAAUGCCCCUAGCAAUACUUCAAAAAGCCUCAAGCGCCCAAUCUGCAUCUUUGCUGAUGCAAACGUUCGACGUAUUUAUGUGGCGUACAAUGUCAACUAAUGUUGUCUAUCUAACUUUCUCGACGUGUUAUCGUCGGAUGCGUAAUUUACGCACGGUCAGAAGUGGUGGACAGACGGUUAUGCUCAGUCAAUCUAUGGUGACGAGGACCGAUGUGCACAUUUUAUCAUUAAGGAGGACAAGGAAGUGUUCAUCGUGGCAGCUCAAUGGA
Molecule: long non-coding RNA, 1492 nt
Organism: Varroa destructor (honeybee mite)
Lineage: Eukaryota; Metazoa; Arthropoda; Arachnida; Mesostigmata; Varroidae
Source: RefSeq, a predicted model, not a curated record